UGGGGAAUAUUGCAUAAUGGGCGAAAGCCUGAUGCAGCCAUGCCGCGUGUGUGAAGAAGGCCUUAGGGUUGUAAAGCACUUUCAGCGAGGAGGAAAGGAUUAAAGUUAAUACCUUUAGUCUAUGACGUUACUCGCAGAAGAAGCACCGGCUAACUCCGUGCCAGCAGCCGCGGUAAUACGGAGGGUGCGAGCGUUAAUCGGAAUUACUGGGCGUAAAGCGUGCGUAGGCGGCUACUUAAGUUGGAUGUGAAAGCCCCGGGCUCAACCUGGGAACUGCAUCCAAAACUGGGUGGCUAGAGUGCGAGAGAGGAGUGUGGAAUUUCCUGUGUAGCGGUGAGAUGCGUAGAUAUAGGAAGGAACACCUGUGGCGAAGGCGACACUCUGGCUUGACACUGACGCUGAGGUACGAAAGCGUGGGGAGCAAACAGGAUUAGAUACCCUGGUAGUCCACGCCGUAAACGAUGUCUACUAGUUGUCCGUUGUCUUGUACGAUGGGUAACGCAGCUAACGCGAUAAGUAGACCGCCUGGGGAGUACGGCCGCAAGGUUA
This 549-nucleotide ribosomal RNA is filed under the name uncultured bacterium. Its description in RNAcentral is "bacterial SSU rRNA". It matches the Rfam family "Bacterial small subunit ribosomal RNA", at positions 355 to 896 of the family's 1533-position model. The record is from RNAcentral.